This 410-nucleotide ribosomal RNA is filed under the name uncultured bacterium. RNAcentral's name for it is "bacterial SSU rRNA". It matches the Rfam family "Bacterial small subunit ribosomal RNA", at positions 359 to 785 of the family's 1533-position model. The record is from RNAcentral.
CGGAUUGAAAUGGGCGGAGCCUGAUGCAGCAACGCCGCGUGCGGGAUGACGGCCUUCGGGUUGUAAACCGCUUUCGCCUGUGACGAAGCGUGAGUGACGGUAAUGGGUAAAGAAGCACCGGCUAACUACGUGCCAGCAGUCGCGGUGAUACGUAGGGUGCGAGCGUUGUCCGGAUUUAUUGGGCGUAAAGGGCUCGUAGGUGGUUGAUCGCGUCGGAAGUGUAAUCUUGGGGCUUAACCCUGAGCGUGCUUUCGAUACGGGUUGACUUGAGGAAGGUAGGGGAGAAUGGAAUUCCUGGUGGAGCGGUGGAAUGCGCAGAUAUCAGGAGGAACACCAGUGGCGAAGGCGGUUCUCUGGGCCUUUCCUGACGCUGAGGAGCGAAAGCGUGGGGAGCGAACAGGAUUAGAUAC